Molecule: unclassified non-coding RNA, 1488 nt
Filed under: Zea mays
Lineage: Eukaryota; Viridiplantae; Streptophyta; Magnoliopsida; Poales; Poaceae
Description: misc RNA Zm00001eb236760
Source: RNAcentral
CCAGAGCGUUGGAGGGGAACCACCAGCCACCUCUAUUCUAUUUAAGCAGCCCCCCUGCUUCACUCGCUCAUCACUCACCAAGAACCAGAGAGGAGCUUCAUCAGCUCAUUCAAUUCUCGUUCCAUCCCUCGUCUCUUGUGUCCCGCCUCCGUUCCAUAAUUCACCAGCGUCGUCCUACCCAUAUCUCCCAUCGUCUUCUCCCUCGCGCCAUCAGCUUCCCCAAGCCAGCGGCGACCAUGAUCUCCCCGGACACCAUCCGCACGGCCAUCGGCGUCAUCGGCAAUGGAACUGCACUCGUGCUCUUCCUCUCCCCAGUGCCUACGUUCAUCCGCAUCUGGAAGAAAGGGUCGGUGGAGCAGUACUCGCCGAUCCCGUACGUGGCGACGCUGCUGAACUGCAUGAUGUGGGUGCUGUACGGGCUGCCGGCGGUGCACCCGCACAGCAUGCUGGUGAUCACCAUCAACGGCACCGGCAUGGCGAUCCAGCUGACCUACGUGGCGCUCUUCCUCCUCUACUCGGUGGGGGCUGCGCGGCGCAAGGUGGUCCUGCUGCUGGCCGCCGAGGUGGGCUUCGUCGGCGCCGUCGCCGCGCUGGUGCUCAGCCUGGCGCACACGCACGAGCGCAGGUCCAUGGUGGUCGGCAUCCUCUGCGUCCUCUUCGGCACCGGCAUGUACGCCGCCCCGCUCUCCGUCAUGAAAAUGGUGAUCCAGACAAAGAGCGUGGAGUACAUGCCCCUGUUCCUGUCGCUGGCUUCCCUCGUGAAUGGCAUCUGCUGGACUGCUUACGCGCUCAUCCGCUUCGACCUCUACAUUACUAUCCCCAACGGGCUGGGCGUGCUGUUCGCGGUGGCGCAGCUGGUGCUGUACGCCAUCUACUACAAGUCCACCCAGGAGAUCAUCGAGGCGCGCAAGCGCAAGGCCGACCAGAUCGCCAUGACCGGGGUGGUCGUCGACGGCGGCAAGACCAACAACCAAGCCGGCGCGGGCCAAUACUGACCGACGAUCAAGUGACGAUCGACACCAAUAUGCUCAAGCAAGAAGCCAGCGGCAAAUCAAUUAUGUCGCCGCUGGGUUUUAUGUAUUUUGUGAUUCUAUAUGCACGCUGCUUGUCCGUCCCGGCCAAUGGAAAAAAAAGGGGGAAGAAAAAAUGUCUGUCGGUAUAUGUGUUCUCGCCGAAUAACUCUCGCGCAUAGCUAGCUGGUGGGGCUGAGUCACUGCCUUCGCUAUAUGUAUACGUGCAAAAAUUAGAGGUGGAGGGUUGUUUUAGCUAAUCCCACCUUAAUUCCAAGGCAGAGUGACCUUUUUUUUUCUCCUUCUGUUUCGGCUAGGAUUUUGCUAUAAUUGAGCAAUUUAGCGCGACUUGUUAUUGGUGUUGGUGUGUCUCAAUCAAAUAGUAAAAUGUUCAUUUUACUCUUUCAAUCGCAUCACACGGUCUCUCCUUGUUAUCUUGUGGGUGUUUGCAUUAUUAGUAGAAAAAAAGUAUUAUGAU